Solanum pennellii is the source of this 1825-nucleotide long non-coding RNA. RefSeq lists it as uncharacterized. The record is from RefSeq and is a predicted model, not a curated record. The transcript has 8 exons. NCBI's taxonomy places the organism in Eukaryota, Viridiplantae, Streptophyta, Magnoliopsida, Solanales, Solanaceae.
UUCACACAUUUAUCUUCAUGUAUCAACAUGAAUGUAUUUGCUGAUUUGUUGACCUUCCUCGAUCAAGAUAAGUUGCAACAAUUUUUACAAGAAACUCCAUUUCGAUAUUUUCAUGAUUUACAUUACAUAAAAAUUCAAUGUCAAUUGUUGCGCCAUAUUUUUCUUCUUGAAUAUGAAAAUGGCAAGGAUGACAUGUUCAUUAUCAAUGUAGGUACAAAGUUACAUUUUGGCUUAAAAGAGUUUGUCGUUGUAACCGGUCUAAAAUCUGAUUCAAUUUCUGAAUUUGUUUCUGAUCCAUCUGUUCCAAAUAGAUUGAUUGCAGAAAAUUUCAGAGACAUGGACAAAGUCCCAAAGUCAAAUUUUUACAACAAGUUUAAAUUGGAAAACUUUUGGGAAGAACAUGACCGUUUAAAAAUCAGAAUUCUGUACUUUCAUUUCGUCAUUCCUUACUGCAUCAGACCCUUCAAAAGCAACCAUUCCCAAGUUAUAUUUUGAUUUUGUAGAGUCUGGCCAGUAUGCAACAUUUCCAUGGGCAAAUGAGUGUUUUAAUUUAACACUUAAAGCGUGCAGUCAAAAAUUUAAAAAAAAAUCUUCAUCAUUCAAGUUUAGCCAGUUUCAUAUAGCAUUGCAUGUAUGGUUUUAUGAGUGUUGUAAUCCAUAUGACAACACAAUUGCUUUCCAUGCUUCAGAUCGCACACCGCGUAUCUUGAACUUGAAUACAAUAAAUUACGUUAUCUUUUUUGAAUGAUAUGAAGAAAGCGAUUUUCAGAACACAUGACAAUCAGAAGAGUUAAAUGUCAUGGAUGAGACCAUUUUGAAUCAGUCUCCCGCUAACCAAGAUUCUGAAGAGGAAGGAACAUCGGUAAAGCAGGGCGUUGAAGUUGAAGGAAAAUACGUUGAGUUAAAAGCUGAAAUUGCAGAGGUUAAGGCGGAAUUGAAAGAGCUCAAAGCUAAUCUUGACAAGCACAUGGUUGAAAUAAAGAAUUACGUUGAUAAUUCGAGUAAGCUGAAAUUGAAGAAAUUAGAUUGUCAAGAGGUCAACAACGGGAUGAUGCCACUCCAAAUGUUGCACAGUCUGAACAUAUUAGAAUAUCAAGAGGUCAACCAACUUCGGAUGCACAACAACGGGAUUAUGUCACUCCAAAUGUUGGUCUGAUAAACUUUCGACUGAACAACCUUCGAUUUAAUGGGUGAAUAUGUUCACAUUUCAAACAAAGAUGAUGAAGGUCAAAAGUCAACUGCUGAAUUUUUGAAUGCCGACUUACCUGGAUCAUCGACUUCAAAACCACCUACUUUGGAUGAUUACCCUGAUUUUACCAUGACACAAAUUAUUGCACUUGAUCUGAUUUUAAACGCUAUCACAACACCAGAUGUGCAAACAAGACACAGAAAUCCCGACAAAUAUGAAUCUUCUCCUUAUAUUUGACUGUCGAAAGCCGAAAGAAGUUCAAAGAAAGUUCCAAUUUUUUUCAGAAUAAAGCAUCCAUUCUCAAGUCACAAUGGAUUCGAUGUUCCAGCUGAUACGAUUGACCAGUUCAACAAAUGGCUUAUGAAAGACGUUUCGAAAAGGAAAUCAGCAACACACAAAGGUGAAAAAUACCUUUCAACCUCAAAUGGACUUAAACGUUGUCAAAAUUGCAGAAUUUUUUUUUCUACAUAAUGACUCAACCGGGCAGACCUUAGGAGGAUGGGGUAAGACAACUAAUGUAUUAUUAAUGUAUGAAUUAUGAAUGACAUAAAUUUGAAUUUACAAUAAGUUUGUAUGAAAUGUAUAUGAAAAAUGUAUAUACGGUUGAAUUGUGUAUAUACUGAAUGCAUUUACUAA